This 258-nucleotide ribosomal RNA is filed under the name uncultured bacterium. RNAcentral's name for it is "partial 16S ribosomal RNA". It matches the Rfam family "Bacterial small subunit ribosomal RNA", at positions 337 to 591 of the family's 1533-position model. The record is from RNAcentral.
UCCUACGGGGGGCAGCAGUGAGGAAUAUUGGUCAAUGGGCGGGAGCCUGAACCAGCCAAGUCGCGUGAGGGAAGACGGUCCUAUGGAUUGUAAACCUCUUUAGGCGGGGAGCAAUGCCGGGCACGUGUGCCCGGAGGGAGAGUACCCGCAGAAGAAGCCACGGCUAACUACGUGCCAGCAGCCGCGGUAAUACGUAGGUGGCGAGCGUUAUCCGGAAUGAUUGGGCGUAAAGGGUGCGUAGGCGGCCUGCUAAGUCUG